This 2651-nucleotide long non-coding RNA is filed under the name Homo sapiens (human). RNAcentral describes it as "non-protein coding lnc-LIG3-1:4". The record is from RNAcentral. Lineage: Eukaryota; Metazoa; Chordata; Mammalia; Primates; Hominidae.
GAAAUGUGGGAAAGAAUGAAGAGCAGCAGUAAAAGAAAUACCUAGCGAAAAAAACAGGAAGCAUAUUGAAGCUCGGACUAGAAUUUCUUCUUGGUAUCAGAGAGACAAGUUUAUCACAGUAUUUUUUUUUUUCCUGCUGACCUAUUGAUAAUACCAACAAUGUUGAGUGGCAUUUUCUUCUUAGUUUUUAAUUUCUUAAAGAAAAUAUACUCCAUAUCUGCAGGGAAAAAAAUAAAAAUCCACACCUGAGAACAGAUCCAUACAACCUGCUUACAAAGAACAGCUCCUGUGCUACCUGAGGCUGAUUUAUUUGAAGAACAAAAGGAAGAGAGACAAUUUAGUGUAGACAAGUGCUAUUCAAUAGAACUUUUUGCAGCAGUGGAAAUAUCCAUAAAUCUGCAGUAUCCAACCAAACUAGCCACAGACAGCUGCUGAGCAAUUGAAAUGAAGCUGGCACAACUAAGGAACUGAAGUUCUUAUUUUAAUUCAACUUCAAAUGGUCACAUGUCACUAGUGACUACCACACUGGACAGUGCAGGUGUAGACGGAGUUCAGAUCAGACUCCUGAAACUUAAUGGCUCUAACCUUAGGCAAGUUACGUUAACAUCUAAGCCUCAAUCCCUCCAAGUAGAAUGGGUGCACCUAAAUCAUAGGGUUGUCCUGUUGUCCUGAGCAACAUUAUGUAAAGCACUUAGCCCAGAGCCUAGCACAUAGUUAUCUAGAGUUGGGAACGUCACUCCUGGUGUGCAUGUCCAGACCCUACCCGGGAGAAGGGCCUAACCUAUGACUUUAGAACCCUCAGUUGCAGGUGUGCAUGUUCCAGCCAACACUCCACUCUGAGUGCAGGCUCAUCAGGACACCAUAUGGUUGUAAACUGGCUGCCAUGUCCCAAUCCUUCCAGCUCUUGAGGGUCAGUUCUCACCUUAUGAACAAAUUAACAGGCUCUGGACCUAUAAGAUCAAGGACCACUGCGCCCCCUGGCCACCCCACCGCCCCCCCCCAACUUUGAUCUGAUUGACUUUGGCUUCCACCUACUGUUUAAAAUGUGUAUGUUGGGGGAGUAGGGACAGCACGGGGGAGGGGUUUACUUUCCUGACUCUAGCCCAGGACAUUUGGUGUUUUUGAAUAGGCACCAUUCAGCCUUGCUUCAGUAUUAGGAAUAAGAUACUUUUUAUUCCAUCCUCUAUGGAGACAAAAAGCUGCUCCUCCUUUGAGUACUGACCUACAUAGAUUUCCAUUUCUCUCUUCAGCCUCAGGCCAAACAAACAACCGGACAGGGCAGCAGAACAAGGCUGUCUCCUCAGGAUCCUGCCAAAGGCACUGUCCUCUCCAACCUGGACCCAGCCCCACUUGCCCUUAUUGGUUGCUUACACCCAGAGUGCACACUCACAGGAAAGGGCCUCUGCUGGCUGCAGCCCUCAACAUCAUCAUCAUAAAUCUCUCCAGCAGAAUGCUGGAGGCCUCCCUCUUCUGAACCUCUACAUGCUGCUGGCUGGCAUCAAGCAGAGGUCAUCACUGGGUGCUGAACAGGUCAGCUCCCUAGGGCAAUGUGAGCAAAGUGUUGUGGCUCAUCCUCGAUCCUUUAUGCCCUUUUGGCAAGAUUCCUUUCUCUUCUCAGUCACAGCAGAUGGACACAUAAUCUUGUUCUCCCAGGGGCUGCAUUCUCAGUAGUCUUUUCCCUGCUCCUUGGGCGCCUGGUCAGGGAGGUUUGUACAAGCCUGCGCACACACAGCAGUCUGUCACGAGGCUGGGCCAACCUUUUUUUUUUUUUUAAACAGACUCUUGCUCUGUCAUUCAGGCUGGAGUGCAGUGGUGCAAUCUCAGCUCACUGCAACCUCUGCUUCCCGGGUUCACAAGCAAUUCUCAUGCCUCAGCCUCCCAAGUGGCUAAGACUUAACAAACAGGCACACACCAUCACUCGCAGCUAAGUUUUUGUAUUUUUAGUAGAGACCACGUUUCGCCAUGUUGUCCAGACUGGUCUCAAACUCCUGGCCUCGAGUCAUCCACGCACCUCAGCCUCCCAAAGUGCUGGGAUUACAGGCGUGAGCCAUGGCGCCCAGCCUGGGCCAACCUUUUCUGAGCCAUAGUCCAGCUGUACUACAGCUGUAUCCAAAAGGUACCAUGUAUCUCCCAGGGUAACCUGAAGACCUAACUGGGCAUACUAACUGUCCUCAGAUUUCAGUUCUUUAAGGCCCAUCUCUUCUAGAUCAGUGUAAAUAUCUGAACUCACUUGGUGCUUCAACCCAAUUGGUCUUGGGAUUCAUCCUUUACCUACCCAGCUCUCAUUCUCUUCUAGGUUGUUCCAUGGCCUCUUCCAUAUAUUACAUUUGUGGUCUUGAGCAAGUUAGUUAGUUACAACAACACUGAGCAUCUUGACCAAGGUCACUUGGCCCAACCACAGGCUAAUCCCAGGCCAUGUGCACAUCCCAGGAUUAGCUUGUGGUUUAUCAGUUGUCAAUUUUUUUUUUUUUUUAAUACAGGGUCUCACUCUGUCACCCUGGCUGGAGUGCGGUGGCGAUCAGAGCUCACUGCAGCUUCAAUCUCCUGGCUCAAGUGAUCCUCCCACCUCAGCCUUCCAAGUAGUUGGGACUACCCACAUGCACCACCAUGCACGGCUAAUUUUUUGGUUUUUUUGGGUUUUUUGUUUGUGU